GCGAGCGUAGUUCAACGGUAGAACAGAGUUCAUCUUAGGAGCCCCCACUCUUAAAAUAUCACGCAGGUUCGACUCCUGCCGCUCGCA
Molecule: transfer RNA, 87 nt
Filed under: Campylobacter jejuni
Lineage: Bacteria; Pseudomonadati; Campylobacterota; Epsilonproteobacteria; Campylobacterales; Campylobacteraceae
Also listed under: 1 other name
Description: tRNA-OTHER
Rfam family: tRNA
About the family: Transfer RNA (tRNA) molecules are approximately 80 nucleotides in length. Their secondary structure includes four short double-helical elements and three loops (D, anti-codon, and T loops).
Source: RNAcentral